UGGCUUUUCCUGCAUCCCUUUUUGUGGGAGAUGAGUGAAGACAAAUGCUGUGAAGAUGUUUUAGGGAUGCCGUCAGGAGUCUUUCUGCCCCAGGAACCUGCAUGUUUCCCAGGGACCGACGGCAGGAGUGAGCCAGGAAGAGUCAUCCCUUGGGCCUUAUCUUGUGACCGAAGGAAAUCAAGGCUCUAAGUGUGCCAUAACUUGAGUCCCUUGGAAAACAUUUCAUUAACAUGUCCAGUUCCGUGUGAAAACAGAAAAAUUCCAAGCAUCUUUGUAUUAUUUCUUCACCUCCUUCUGAAAUACAUGGGUUGAUGAACUUUAGCUUUGGGAAAGACCGCAGCAAACCUGGUCACUCUUACCUACAAAACAGCUUCUCAAAUAAUUAGAAAUAUAUUUCAAGGAUCGAUAUUAAGGGAUUCAUAUCCUUCAUUCAAGGUAUGUUUUCUGAGCGCUUCCUCUGCGUCAAGAGCAAAGACCUCAGCUUUCGCCCCGGCUGGGAGAGCCAGACACUAAACAACGGCAUCAGUAAAUAUUUACUAUGUUAUGUUGGAGGAGCUACAAAGGAAAGGAAAGGAAGGAAGGGAAUAAAAUCUUGCUGGGGUAAGAGUGAGUAGAAAUUUAAAAUCAGAUGACGUAUUAGUUAGCUAGUGUCAUGUCAUAAAUCACCCACAAAAUGCAGUGGCUUAAAAUGGUAGCAUGUUUAUUGCUGUCAUGUUUAUUGGUUGGCUGAGUAGUCCUCUUAAUAUGGGCCAAGCUUGAUUGAUCUUGAUUGAUCUUGGCUGGCUUGCUUGUGUGUUUAAGGUUAGCCGACAGGUCAACUGGGUGCUCGUGAUAUAGAAAGGCUCACAUUUCUUCCAUAUUUUUCACAUUUCUGUGGUUGGCUGACCAUCAGCCGGUGCUGUCUGGGUGACCGGUCCUCCUGUCUCUCAGCAUCUGGCAAACUAAUCCCAACUUUCUAUGACAGUUAGCAGGGUCUCAAGUGAGAAAGUAAAAGCACAUAAGGCAUCUUGAAGCCUAACCUUAGUACUGACACAAUGUCCCCUUUGAUGUGUUCAUGUAUUCUAAUGCUUGAUGCGGUUGAUCCCAUUGAAGGAGAGGGUAAGUAGGUCCUAGCUCUUGAUAGGAGGAACUGCAAAGUUACAUCGCAGAAAGCACUGGUAAAGGGAAGGAUCAAGAAUACGGGAGCCGUUUUUGCAAUCAGUCUACUAUAGAUGGUCAUGGAAGGUUGCACUGAGAAAGCUUCACUUAAUGAUUUCAUGUGGUGAGGAAAGGAACCCUAGGAAUAUUUCCAGACAAUAGUGGUGUAGUUGGUUCCAGUUCGAGGAAACAGCGCAUUUCUGAGGCGGGGAUGUGAUCAGCAUGCUGGGGAAGUAAAAGGAGGCCAGUGUUGCUGCAGUGGGGUGUGCUAGGGGGAGGGUAGUGCAGAUGAGAAGGAGGCCACCUUCUAUAGGAUUUGGUGGGCUCCUCUAAGGACUUGGCUUUUAUUUGGAAUGAUGUGGUGAGUGGGAGAGUUUUGAACAGAGCAGGGCAUGAUUUGAUACGUAGUUCAACAGGAUCCCUCUGGGAGGCAAGACUGGAAAGAUAGCGGUUGGGAGGCCGUUGCUGUCAUCCAGGCUAGAGAGGGUGACAGCUUGGGUCUGUGGCAGUGGCAGUGAAGGAGGCGAGGAGUGAUAUAUUUUGAAGAUAGAGAUGCCCAUAUGCUGAUGGUUUUUAUAAGGAGUGUGAGAAAAAGAGAGGUCUCAGAGUGACUCCAGAGUUUUUCUCUGAGUACUAGAAGGGUGGAGUUGCCAUCUGCUUGGAUAGAGAAGACUGUGGGAAGAGUGGAUUUGAGGAGGAAGAUCAGGAAUUUGGUUUUGGGCAUUUUAAGUUUGAGAUGCGUAUUAGACUCCCACGUGCAGCUGUCAAGUAGACCAUUGGAUAUAUGAGUCUAGAGUUCACGGAGAGAAUUGGACUGGGGAGCUUGGAAUAUGAUAACCAAUGGAAUGAGCAUUGACUAGAUCAGAGGCCCAAGGGCUGAGUUCUGAGGCAGUGGAGAUGAAGAGGAACCAGUAAAGGAGUCUGUGAAGGAGCAGUCGAUGGAAGACCAGCAAGAUAGUGGGAUGCCCUGGAGUUCAGAGCAAAAGGUAUAUUAAGGGGGAGUGUGUUGUCAACGUGUUAAAUGGUGCUGCUGGGUCUAGUGAGAUGAGGACUGGCAUGUGGCCGUCAGACUUGGCAAUGUGGAGGUCACUAAUGACCUUGAGAAGAGCAGUUUCAAUGAGAUGAUGGAGGUAAACGCUUGAAUGUAGAAAGCUCAAGAAAGAAUAGGGAUAGAAGAUCUGGGAAUGGUGACUGUAGACAGCUGUUUCAGUGAGCUUUAUGGUGAAGGAGAAAAGUGAAACAGACUAUAACUGGAGGGAGAUGUGAUGUCAGGGAGUUUUUUAAAAAGAUGUUUGCGUAUUGAUGGGAAUGAUGCUUAAGAGAGGAGAACAUUGGUAACUCAGGGAAGAGGGAGAAGUGCCAAGCGAUACUGUUGAGGAGGUAAGAGGUAUGGGAUCAGAGGGAGUGGCCUCAGAUGGGAGGGCUGGCUGCCUCUCUACAGUGUUGGGAAGGAAGGCGGAGUGUGGCGAUGAUACCCAUAUCAGCGGAUCAGAAGACGGAUGGGCAACCCGGGGACGUUCUCUUCUGAGCCCCUCUCUUGACCUAGGAAAUAGGAAAUGGGGUACUUGGCUUUAAGUUAGGAUGGAGGAAGAGCUGUUAGAACUUGAAGAAAGAUGGAAAGAGAAAGAGUGAAGACUGACUAGAACAGGGAAAUGAAGUAUGAUUGUGGGGCAGGAAGAAGGGCCCUCAGGAAGUGAGUGGUCAUGAAUCAAAGUUGGAGAAGUCAGGACUGCUGUGUGUUUUCCGCCAGCAGGCAUGUGGAGGGUUGGGACUUUGCUACAUGAAAUGAAAUAAUGGAAGGCUGAAGAAGUUCUUGUGUAUAAGGGAGUCAUUAUAAAGAAGGAUCAGGGAAUUUAAGCUGAGGAAGAAGGGAAAUGAGACCAUGAACGGCUUAGCGACAGAGAAAAUGUAGAAAGGUCAGUAGAUUUGUUAAAAGCUAAUUUUCAGAAAACAGUAAAAUUAUGACUCUCACGGAGAUAUAGUAAUGAUGAACACAUGUUAAAUUAUUUUACUCACGUGGUAUGAGGGAACUAGGAAGAUGUAACUGGUUCAAAGGAAAAGUAAAAACACACAGAUGUAUAUGGAGUAAAGGAAUGAACUGCAGAUAGAGGCAAGCUGGUUUUCCAAGGUGAGGUAAGAAGUCAAUUAAAUCACUACUAGACAGGACAGAAUCAUCCAUCUAUCAGUUACCAACAAUUUAUAGAGAGUUGCAAGAUAGCUCAAAGACAAUGACCGGGGUGGACUCUGAUAACCUGGAAAGGUACGCUACAGACAUGCCCAAUUUUCCAUGGAAACACAACAUAUAUUUUUCCUAUAGAUUUCAGGUCUUACUCUAAUGAAAGCUAGAAAUUAGUGGCUGUGGCAUACCCAGUGGAGUGAGCUGCAGAGCUCUUAGAAGUGGACAAGGCUGAGAUACUCAACAUUUUUUUUUUUAAAGAUCUUUUAUUUAUUUAUUUGAGAGAGAGAGAGCGCACUCCCGAGCACAUGAGCAGUGGGGAGCGGCAGAGGGAGAGGGAGAAGCAGACUCUCCGCUGAACAGGGAGCCCAAUGCCGGACUCCACCCCAGGAUCCCAGGAUCAUGACCUGAGCUGAAGGCAGAGGCUCAACCAACUGAGCCACACAGGCGCCCCUGAGAUGUUCAACAUUUUAAUGAUGGAGAACUUGUCAUUAUUUUGCAAUGACGCAUUUAAGGCAUGGCCACCAGAGUGAGUGAUCAAGAUUGGGUGAGGAAGAGACAGUUUAGAGGAGGAUCAACCAAACAACUGAGAGAGCAGGAUAAUGGAAGGAUCAUAUAUUGAAUAUACCGAAACCACCAGGAAUUGUGACAGGCAUGUGAGAGGCUCUAGGAGGUAGGAACUAAACUAUUCCAGAAAUGGGGAGACACUUUGGGGCUGGUGUUUGUCUGCAAUAAGGAGUGACACUAGAGGGGCAUGGUCUACCUAUCUUGAUCUCAAACAUUGUUCUUCCACUUUCUAGGUAGGUCUACGAUCUAGAAGUGGCUGAAGGGGGCGACAGAAGCUCCAUAAGAAGGCUGCAUGCAGGGGAAGCACAAAAGCUCAGGGUGCUUUUAGAAGAGACGCAGGCUACUGCGCAAGUCAGUGGUUCAGAGGUUGUGCUUUGGGGAGAAGGUUUUCAGGUACUGAGUCCUUUCUCUCUCGCGUUUUCCAUAUUUUUGUUUGCCACUCUCUUAUAAUCUGCUUUGCUGUUCUUUUCAAAUUUAAAACAUUUUCUAGUGACAAAAGGAACCUGCUCUUUGCUCCUGGUUUUGCACUAGAGGACUUUUUUUUUUUUUUAACGUUAAAAAAUGUGUUGGGAAAAGAAUAAUGUGCAUUGGUUCUAGCACAAGGAUAGACCGAGAUCUAGUAUUUCUCCUUCGUGAGAUGUUUUCUCUGGAAUAAAAUUUGAAUGGCAAAAUCGGGAAAUAGGAAUGCUCAGCAGACAAUGACCACAAACCUCCACCUAGGGAGGAGGUUCUGAGUGGGGACAGCAGUUGGAAGGAAUGGGAGGGGUGGUUGGGACCUGAGUGGAGAGCGCCAGACUGGGGCCGUCAUGACUUGCACGAGGCCCAGAGAGAGGGCUGAAGUCAGAUUUAAAGGAAGUGAAUGGGAAAACAGAGAAGGAGACUAGAGCUCUUUUGAAGAGGAGUCCCAGCUGCAGAUUUUAAAGUGACACCAUGCCAACCUUCUGCCCCACACCCCAAGCUGAACAAAACAAACAAAUGAACUGCAUCUGUAAUCGUGGCUAGUAAGUGAGAAGCAGCUGGGACACCCGCCCCCUUGCCCAGUUGUGCUGGUUUAUAUUUGGGGUCAUGUCAUUGGGACAGUACGUCCUGAUGUUGCAAGGCCGUGGCUGGUCAUAUUGUCUUUAGCUUGCAGGCUGCUGAUGGCGAGAGUGAAGUUUGCCCUAGAGCCCCUGCCCCUGAACCGGGCGGGCACCCCGUUAACUCAGGUGGCAGGGAGGUAAGUGAGGGCCUUCGGCCCCUCCGGGCCCGCGCUGGCACAGCUUACGCGGUGCUUCCCGGCCACGCGGAGGAGGCUCUCACUGGCCCUGCAGCCAAUGGGGACUCUGUCCUGGGAAACAGACAAGCACACAGCUGCCUGGGGGGGUGCCGUGUGCCCACUGGAACCUGCCGUCGCAGGCACAGUGGGCUGAUGCGGAGAUGCUGUGAUCCCAGUAGAGCCAGGAUGGGCUCCCAAGGUGAGGCCAGGCCCAAGCAAGCCUGUGCAGUCAGUGACAUUCGCUUCCUGUCCCCUCCCAAGGCCACUCUUCUCAGGGAGCACGAGGAUCGCCCCCGAGGGAACCCUCGACUUGGGGACGUUCUCUCACCUGGAACACAGACAGGAGCAUGAGCCUGAGGAUCUGGGAUGGUGGCACCAUCUGGCUGCCUCUCACCGUCCCGAGGCUGCUCAGACCCUGUCCCUAGAAAAGACCCAGUGAUCAGCAUGGGGCUAUAGGGCUGGGCCUGUGGUGGAGGCAGUAGGGGUGGGAGGAUGGUGCAAAUCUCCGUGGAGGAUGAAGGCAGAGCUGGCAAAGUCAAAGGUCGUGGUGAUUCCUGGUGAGGCAGCCUGCCAGCCACUCUGCUGGGCCACCUGCCUGUGCCUGGCCCUACCCCUGACAAAUGACCAACAACUAGAAUUACUGGUUAGGAGAUGACAAAUCCCAUGUGGCUUAGCCUGCUCCUGUUUGGGAAGAGUCCCUGGGAGCCACUUGGGAGGGCAUUUUGCAGAAGACAAAGAAUUAGCUCAUGAGAGAGAAAGUGUUGAGGUGAUAGGUAGAGGGUGUGCUCUUGACCUGCGGGCUGGGAGUCACACAGGUUUGUCCUCUGUGCUUUGUCGUCGUGCCUGUACAUGACACGCCAAUGUUAGAGGCAGGGUGAACCCGAAGUCGGGCACUGAUUGUUCUCCACUCUGAGUAGGAGUGACCCCUCCGCCUGGGCGGGUUUCCGGGGGGACACGACCUUGGUUUCCAGGAUGGAGCAGAUGGAGAGUCCCGGGCUUAUCCACACCGAGGCAGGUGCCUUGAUUAGUGUCGGUUCCCAGCCUUCACCAAGGUUCCACGCUCAGCCCUCUCACCCUUUCCAGGUCCUGAGGGCAUUUCAGGACUCGGUUUAAAGGCCAUCUACUCAGUGGGGCCGACUUGCCCUCCCCAUCUGAGCCAGGCCACCCUGUUUCACUCUUUAUAAUCCCAUGGCUUUCUCUUCCUGACAAGAAUCACAACUUGAAAUGCGUUAUUGUGGUAAUGUAUGAGAUUUUAAUUCUGGGGAUUAAGAGUGUUCCUGAAAUAGCCUAUAUCCUAAUGAUAGGGCAGCCCCAGGGCACUCCCCCACAUGGCUUCUCAGGUUAGAAGGCAAAGAAGAAACUGGCCCCCAAAUCCCUUGAGCUACACUUGGAAAUUUCUGGGGACCCCAAGUCCCACAGGGUGUUCUGAGAGCAGGUGUCCCUUUUGAGCACAACCUCAAGCUCUUCUGAGCUGAUUUGCAUUAGACAGAGCUCCAGGCUGCUCUCAGCAUCCUUCAAGGCAGCUGGUCCGGCCCCCUGAGGAGCAGCCUCUAGUCCAGCUCUCAGAGAUGGGGUUCAGGGCUCCCCUGCUGUGGAUCCUGCUGCUCUGGGCUCCAAGUGAGAGGGGGGCAUACGGAGAAAUGGUGGGCAAACCUCACUGUGGCCACGAUGCUUUUGGUGUCUCUGGGUUCUUGGUGGCUGGAAUUCAAGCAUUUGGUAUAGGUUUCCAGUUGCCCAGUUACCUUUCGUCUUCUGGUUCCUCUGAGUGUUGUGCAUGACUUUGACUACAGGGUCCUCAGUGCUGCGGGCCUCCACUGGGUUGCUCUCAGCACAUCUGUUAAAUUUGUUGUGUUUAUCAUUCCAGGCUCCACUGGGGACAUUGUGCUGACCCAGUCUCCGGGCUCUCUGACCAUGUUUCCAGGGCAGAGGGCCACCAUCUCUUGCAAGGCCAGUCAGAAAGUCAGUGACAUUUGGGGCAUUACCCACUACAUGACCUGGUAUCCACAGAAAUCAGGACAGCGUCCUAAAGUCCUGAUUUAUAGAGCAUCCAGUCGAGAGUCUGGGGUCCCAGCCAGGUUCAGUGGCGGUGGGUCUGGGACUGAUUUCAGCCUCACAGUUGAUCCCGCGGAGGCCGGCGACGCUGCCAACUAUUACUGCCUGCAGGGCUCCAGUGCCCAGGACAUCAAAUAUGAAAACUCCUCCCAGGGAGAUGAACUGUUCUCCAGCCUACUGAUUGUGUUUGAUCUGGAGCCAAGACUGAUGGUGUGGUGACUACCGACGGUACAUCAUUCUCAUGGCAAUUUGUAGGAGGGUACAAAAUCCCCCACACAAGCAAACUUAAGUCCAAUUAUUCUGACACAAUUGCAUAUAAUUUUGAUUUAUUCUUAGGUCUUCAUAAUUCUUUAAA
Molecule: non-coding RNA, 7542 nt
Organism: Mirounga angustirostris (Northern elephant seal)
Lineage: Eukaryota; Metazoa; Chordata; Mammalia; Carnivora; Phocidae
Source: the annotation of a RefSeq genome assembly